AAAUUGAAGAGUUUGAUCAUGGCUCAGAUUGAACGCUGGCGGCAGGCUUAACACAUGCAAGUCGAACGGUAACAUGAGUGC
This 81-nucleotide ribosomal RNA is filed under the name Gilliamella sp. Pas-s27. Its description in RNAcentral is "partial 16S ribosomal RNA". It matches the Rfam family "Bacterial small subunit ribosomal RNA", at positions 1 to 81 of the family's 1533-position model. Lineage: Bacteria; Pseudomonadati; Pseudomonadota; Gammaproteobacteria; Orbales; Orbaceae. The record is from RNAcentral.